This is a long non-coding RNA of Homo sapiens (human), 439 nucleotides long. RefSeq lists it as uncharacterized. The transcript is spliced from 2 exons. Lineage: Eukaryota; Metazoa; Chordata; Mammalia; Primates; Hominidae. The record is from RefSeq and is a predicted model, not a curated record.
GGGAUGUAUCUGUGUUCUGUUCCAGGACUUGAGUGAACCCCCCGUCUUGGAACCUGAGCUGAGCCUGGUCUAUCUCAGUACCUGGGUACACCCUGCCCUAGUAGAACGUUCACAAUCAGGAGGCAAAUGAAAAUGAAGAGAGGUGUCAGGGAAGAGCUAACUGCCGAGAGAGGAAACCUGGGAAGGGGAGGAGAGGGAUGACUUGAAAAGAUGGACCUUCUCCAGCUGGAGCAGGGAAGGAGAGAAACUGACGGAGCUGCAUCAGUGGAUGAUGGAGGCACACCACGGUGGACACAAGCACACGCAGGAGGUGUGAGAAAAGGCUGGAAAAUGAGACAGAAAAGGGCCGGGAUCUCUCUGCACCACACUGGUGGAGAAUAUUCAUGAUAGUAAUCAUGAUUCGACUCAAUAAAAACCACGGUCUCUACCACGCACUGCA